AUGAUUGCUCUUAUCGGUAUUGCUCCUACCGAGGCUGAGGCUGAUGUAGAGGAGGGAGAAGAGAAGAAGAAGAGGGAAAGGAAAGCUGCCAGAGCUGCUUUUACGUGGAUUCAAAAUCACUUUGCGACGUGCCCUCCGGAUGCCACUGAUGAUGUGAUCCAGACACAUGCUCGUGUCUACAUGUGGUAUGUUGUGUCGAGGACUUUGUUUCCUGACUCCAGUGGCAAGAACGCUCCAUGGAUGUGGCUGAAGGCGUUGACCGUCUUCGAUAGCAAAUGGAGCUGGGGUACAGCUACUCUUGCCUACUUGUACAGACAGGUAGUUGGUCUGUUUUGUGAUCAACUCAUUCUUCAUUAG
Molecule: ribosomal RNA, 357 nt
Filed under: Triticum aestivum (bread wheat)
Lineage: Eukaryota; Viridiplantae; Streptophyta; Magnoliopsida; Poales; Poaceae
Description: partial small subunit ribosomal RNA
Source: RNAcentral